GAUGAACGCUAGCGGCAGGCCUAACACAUGCAAGUCGCGGGGCCGCACAGAAACAGCAAUGUUUUGGUGGCGACAGGCGGACGGGUGCGUAACGCGUAUGCAACCUACCUUUAACAGGGGGAUAACGGAGAGUAAUGUCCACUACUACCCCAUAACAUCGAUCAAGCCAUCUGGACUGGUUGAAAACUCCGGUGGUUAAGGAGCGGUAUGCGUUGUAUUAGGUCGUGGGUGAGGUAGUGGCUCACCAAGCCUACUGUACAUAGGGGGACUGGGAGGUUAGCCCCCCACACUGGUAAUGAGACACGGACCAGAGUCCGACGGGAGGCAGCAGUGAGGAAUAUUGGUCAAUGGGGGCAACCCUGAACCAGCGAUGCCGCGUGCAGGAAGACGGCUCUAUGAGUUGUAAACUGCUUUUAAACAGGGACAAAGCACAGUAUGUAUACUGUGUUGAAGGUACUGUAAGAAUAAGGAUCGGCUAACUCCGUGCCAGCAGCCGCCGUAA
RNAcentral lists this ribosomal RNA (502 nucleotides) under uncultured bacterium. RNAcentral's name for it is "partial 16S ribosomal RNA". It matches the Rfam family "Bacterial small subunit ribosomal RNA", at positions 28 to 523 of the family's 1533-position model. The record is from RNAcentral.